RNAcentral lists this ribosomal RNA (1368 nucleotides) under Salmonella enterica subsp. enterica. RNAcentral's name for it is "partial 23S ribosomal RNA". It matches the Rfam family "Bacterial large subunit ribosomal RNA", at positions 1585 to 2925 of the family's 2925-position model. Lineage: Bacteria; Pseudomonadati; Pseudomonadota; Gammaproteobacteria; Enterobacterales; Enterobacteriaceae. The record is from RNAcentral.
CUGAAGCAACAAAUGCCCUGCUUCCAGGAAAAGCCUCUAAGCAUCAGGUAACAUCAAAUCGUACCCCAAACCGACACAGGUGGUCAGGUAGAGAAUACCAAGGCGCUUGAGAGAACUCGGGUGAAGGAACUAGGCAAAAUGGUGCCGUAACUUCGGGAGAAGGCACGCUGACACGUAGGUGAAGUGAUUUACUCAUGGAGCUGAAGUCAGUCGAAGAUACCAGCUGGCUGCAACUGUUUAUUAAAAACACAGCACUGUGCAAACACGAAAGUGGACGUAUACGGUGUGACGCCUGCCCGGUGCCGGAAGGUUAAUUGAUGGGGUCAGCGCAAGCGAAGCUCCUGAUCGAAGCCCCGGUAAACGGCGGCCGUAACUAUAACGGUCCUAAGGUAGCGAAAUUCCUUGUCGGGUAAGUUCCGACCUGCACGAAUGGCGUAAUGAUGGCCAGGCUGUCUCCACCCGAGACUCAGUGAAAUUGAACUCGCUGUGAAGAUGCAGUGUACCCGCGGCAAGACGGAAAGACCCCGUGAACCUUUACUAUAGCUUGACACUGAACAUUGAGCCUUGAUGUGUAGGAUAGGUGGGAGGCUUUGAAGUGUGGACGCCAGUCUGCAUGGAGCCGACCUUGAAAUACCACCCUUUAAUGUUUGAUGUUCUAACGUGGACCCGUAAUCCGGGUUGCGGACAGUGUCUGGUGGGUAGUUUGACUGGGGCGGUCUCCUCCUAAAGAGUAACGGAGGAGCACGAAGGUUGGCUAAUCCUGGUCGGACAUCAGGAGGUUAGUGCAAUGGCAUAAGCCAGCUUGACUGCGAGCGUGACGGCGCGAGCAGGUGCGAAAGCAGGUCAUAGUGAUCCGGUGGUUCUGAAUGGAAGGGCCAUCGCUCAACGGAUAAAAGGUACUCCGGGGAUAACAGGCUGAUACCGCCCAAGAGUUCAUAUCGACGGCGGUGUUUGGCACCUCGAUGUCGGCUCAUCACAUCCUGGGGCUGAAGUAGGUCCCAAGGGUAUGGCUGUUCGCCAUUUAAAGUGGUACGCGAGCUGGGUUUAGAACGUCGUGAGACAGUUCGGUCCCUAUCUGCCGUGGGCGCUGGAGAACUGAGGGGGGCUGCUCCUAGUACGAGAGGACCGGAGUGGACGCAUCACUGGUGUUCGGGUUGUCAUGCCAAUGGCACUGCCCGGUAGCUAAAUGCGGAAGAGAUAAGUGCUGAAAGCAUCUAAGCACGAAACUUGCCCCGAGAUGAGUUCUCCCUGAGACUUAGAGUCUCCUGAAGGAACGUUGAAGACGACGACGUUGAUAGGCCGGGUGUGUAAGCGCAGCGAUGCGUUGAGCUAACCGGUACUAAUGAACCGUGAGGCUUAACCUUACAA